AAAUGCGAUAAGUAAUGUGAAUUGCAGAAUUCAGUGAAUCAUCGAAUCUUUGAACGCACCUUGCGCUCCUUGGUAUUCCUUGGAGCAUGCCUGUUUGAGUAUCAUGAAAUCUUCAAAGUAAAUCUUUUGUUAACUCAAUUGGUUUCUACUUUGGUAUUGGAGGUCUUUGCAGCUUCACACCUGCUCCUCUUUGUUCAUUAGCUGGAUCUCAGUGUUAUGCUUGGUUCCACUCGGCGUGAUAAGUUAUCUAUCGCUGAGGACACUGUAAAAGGUGGCCAAGGUAAAUGCAGAUGAACCGCUUCUAAUAGUCCAUUGACUUGGACAAUACUUUUAUGAUCUGAUCUCAAGUCAGGUAGGACUACCCGCUGAACUUAAGC
Molecule: unclassified non-coding RNA, 377 nt
Filed under: plant metagenome
Description: partial contains 5.8S ribosomal RNA, internal transcribed spacer 2, and large subunit ribosomal RNA
Rfam family: 5.8S ribosomal RNA (bases 1-104)
Source: RNAcentral